GCAGGCUGCAACCCGCCUGUAUGAAGUUGGAAUCGCUAGUAAUCGCGGAUCAGCAUGCCGCGGUGAAUACGUUCCCGGGCCUUGUACACACCGCCCGUCACACCAUGAGAGUCGGGAACACCCGAAGUCCGUAGCCUAACCGCAAGGAGGGCGCGGCCGAAGGUGGGUUCGAUAAUUGGGGUGAAGUCGUAACAAGGUACC
RNAcentral lists this ribosomal RNA (201 nucleotides) under uncultured bacterium. Its description in RNAcentral is "partial 16S ribosomal RNA". It matches the Rfam family "Bacterial small subunit ribosomal RNA", at positions 1300 to 1500 of the family's 1533-position model. The record is from RNAcentral.